This 83-nucleotide signal recognition particle RNA is filed under the name marine eukaryotic metagenome. RNAcentral describes it as "Bacterial small signal recognition particle RNA". It matches the Rfam family "Bacterial small signal recognition particle RNA", at positions 9 to 86 of the family's 97-position model. Rfam says of the family: The signal recognition particle (SRP) is a universally conserved ribonucleoprotein involved in the co-translational targeting of proteins to membranes. Archaeal SRP consists of a 7S RNA and homologues of the eukaryotic SRP19 and SRP54 proteins. The record is from RNAcentral.
GUCCUUCGCAAUGACAGGAUACCCAACCCCGCCAGGUCCGGAAGGAAGCAACGGCCGGUAUCCGCUCAUGUGACGAAGGUUCG